UGGCUCCUACGGGGGGCAGCAGUGAGGAAUAUUGGUCAAUGGCCGGAAGGCUGAACCAGCCAAGCCGCGUGAAGGACGAAGGUGCCAAGCAUUGUAAACUUCUUUUGUCAAGGGACAAAAUCAGGCUCGAGAGCCUGACCGAGGGUACUUGAAGAAAAAGCAUCGGCUAACUACGUGCCAGCAGCCGCGGUAAUACGUAGGUGGCGAGCGUUGUCCGGAUUUACUGGGCGUAAAGGGAGCGUAGGCGGACUUUUAAGUGAGAUGUGAAAUACUCGGGCUCAACUUGAGUGCUGCAUUUCAAACUG
This 305-nucleotide ribosomal RNA is filed under the name uncultured bacterium. RNAcentral describes it as "bacterial SSU rRNA". It matches the Rfam family "Bacterial small subunit ribosomal RNA", at positions 333 to 635 of the family's 1533-position model. The record is from RNAcentral.